This 1213-nucleotide long non-coding RNA is filed under the name Fukomys damarensis (Damara mole-rat). Its description in RNAcentral is "lncRNA (ENSFDAG00000029763.1)". The record is from RNAcentral. Lineage: Eukaryota; Metazoa; Chordata; Mammalia; Rodentia; Bathyergidae.
GUUAAGCAUAUACAAAUCUGUGCAUUAAAACUUAAAGUUCACCUUACUCUAACAUCACAGACAGCUUUUCUACAUUUUCCAUUUUGUUUCUAAGGAACACAGAGAUUUGUUCCACUAUGAAAAGAAAAGGGGUUCUGCGUAUGGACCCCUGCACAUGACCUCACUUCCUUGGCGACAGGUCCAAACAGAACUCGGAACCCUCGAGUUACCGGACACCACAGUCUCAGGACGGCUGGCUCACAGUCACUUGGCUGGAGACAGCGAGCAGUGAACACGCUGUGCUGCCUGCCCAGGCCUCGAGGCCGCAGCCUCAGGACCCCUCGCAGGGAAAGCACUUGGGAACGAGUGAGAGGAUGGAUGACUAAGUCCAGGCGCAACAGGCCACUGGGCAGGAACCGCCCUGCCCUCGUGGACAGCACAGGGCAGGCCUCACCAGACCCGGCGACCGAUGACCUUGAGAUGAGAGCGAGCCCAGGCGAGGUGUCCCCGGGCCUGGCCAUCAGACGCGUAGAGCCACUGAGUCCAGGACAGGAACACUUAGGCCUGGCCGUCACUAUUGGAAAUCUGGAGGCCCAGAGCCUGGUGGAGGUCUGCAUGGUGAGGACCGCACGGGCAGGCACGCCGCCCCCACUGAUGGAGGCCUUCCUGGACAGCUGCUCCAUCUGUGAUGCCUCCUUCCCGGACCCCGCUGAGGCUUGCAUUUCCUUCCUGCAGGAGGGGAUGCUGAGAAGGUCCACCUCUUCUGUCCUUGACUCCUCGCUGGAGCUGCACUCCAGGGUGGAUCUCCCGGCUGAACUACUGACCCAGCAAGAGCAAGCUGAGCCCACUGAGGCAGAACCCAAGGCUGCAGGGCCAGCUCCAGCCCAAACUGAAGUCCCACCUGUAGAGUGUGUGCCAGCUCCACCUGCAGCUCCCUCCCCAGCUCUGGUACCACAGCCAGAGCCAGCGCCAGGAGCCCCUUCUCCACCAGGUGCACAACUGGGGGUCCCUAUGGAUGCACGCUGGGCAUCAGCUCCUGAGCUCCAGCUGGGGCAAACUCUCCUGCCCCACCCCUGCCAUUCCCGUCCAUUACUCUUGGUCAUGUUUUGGCAUAUAUUUUUGCUCUUAUUCUCUGGAUUUAUAUAAACAACAGAAUUAUUUUUAAAUGAAAGCAGAGAUUUUAGUCUUGUUUAAAAUGAUUAGCUGGGUGGCAUGAAGUGCAUUCUCUCUGCUC